GAUGAACGCUAGCGGGAGGCCUAACACAUGCAAGCCGAGCGGUAUUGUUUCUUCGGAAAUGAGAGAGCGGCGUACGGGUGCGGAACACGUGUGCAACCUGCCUUUAUCUGGGGGAUAGCCUUUCGAAAGGAAGAUUAAUACUCCAUAACAUAUUGAUUGGCAUCAAUUAAUAUUGAAAGCUCCGGCGGAUAGAGAUGGGCACGCGCAAGAUUAGCUAGUUGGUGAGGUAACGGCUCACCAAGGCGAUGAUCUUUAGGGGGCCUGAGAGGGUGAUCCCCCACACUGGUACUGAGACACGGACCAGACUCCUACGGGAGGCAGCAGUGAGGAAUAUUGGUCAAUGGGUGCAAGCCUGAACCAGCCAUCCCGCGUGAAGGACGACUGCCCUAUGGGUUGUAAACUUCUUUUGUAUAGGGAUAAACCUACCCUCGUGAGGGUAGCUGAAGGUACUAUACGAAUAAGCACCGGCUAACUCCGUGCCAGCAGCCGCGGUAAUACGGAGGGUGCAAGCGUUAUCCGGAUUUAUUGGGUUUAAAGGGUCCGUAGGCGGACUUAUAAGUCAGUGGUGAAAGCCCGUCGCUUAACGAUAGAACUGCCAUUGAUACUGUAAGUCUUGAGUAUAUUUGAGGUAGCUGGAAUAAGUAGUGUAGCGGUGAAAUGCAUAGAUAUUACUUAGAACACCAAUUGCGAAGGCAGGUUACCAAGAUAUAACUGACGCUGAGGGACGAAAGCGUGGGGAGCGGACAGGAUUAGAUACCCUGGUAGUCCACGCCGUAAACGAUGCUAACUCGUUUUUGGGCUUUAGGGUUCAGAGACCAAGCGAAAGUGAUAAGUUAGCCACCUGGGGAGUACGCUCGCAAGAGUGAAACUCAAAGGAAUUGACGGGGGCCCGCACAAGCGGUGGAUUAUGUGGUUUAAUUCGAUGAUACGCGAGGAACCUUACCAAGACUUAAAUGGGAAUUGACAGCUUUAGAAAUAGAGCUUUCUUCGGACAAUUUUCAAGGUGCUGCAUGGUUGUCGUCAGCUCGUGCCGUGAGGUGUUAGGUUAAGUCCUGCAACGAGCGCAACCCCUGUCACUAGUUGCCAUCAUUCAGUUGGGGACUCUAGUGAGACUGCCUACGCAAGUAGAGAGGAAGGUGGGGAUGACGUCAAAUCAUCACGGCCCUUACGUCUUGGGCCACACACGUAAUACAAUGGCCGGUACAGAGGGCAGCUACACAGCGAUGUGAUGCAAAUCUCGAAAGCCGGUCUCAGUUCGGAUUGGAGUCUGCAACUCGACUCUAUGAAGCUGGAAUCGCUAGUAAUCGCGCAUCAGCCAUGGCGCGGUGAAUACGUUCCCGGGCCU
Molecule: ribosomal RNA, 1345 nt
Filed under: uncultured bacterium
Lineage: Bacteria
Description: bacterial SSU rRNA
Rfam family: Bacterial small subunit ribosomal RNA
Source: RNAcentral